GGCCAAGGCCCGCGCAAUCGGAGCAUGCCCAACCCCGCCAGGGCCGGAAGGCAGCAACGGUCAGCGUUGCGAUGAUGUGCCGCGGGGACCCUUGGCCAAU
Molecule: signal recognition particle RNA, 100 nt
Filed under: bacterium
Lineage: Bacteria
Description: signal recognition particle sRNA small type
Rfam family: Bacterial small signal recognition particle RNA
About the family: The signal recognition particle (SRP) is a universally conserved ribonucleoprotein involved in the co-translational targeting of proteins to membranes. Archaeal SRP consists of a 7S RNA and homologues of the eukaryotic SRP19 and SRP54 proteins.
Source: RNAcentral